GAUGAACGCUGGCGGCGUGCCUAAUACAUGCAAGUCGAGCGAACAGACGAGGAGCUUGCUCCUCUGACGUUAGCGGCGGACGGGUGAGUAACACGUGGAUAACCUACCUAUAAGACUGGGAUAACUUCGGGAAACCGGAGCUACUACCGGAUAAUAUAUUGAUCCGCAUGGUUCAAUAGUGAAAGACGGUUUUGCUGUUACUUAUAGAUGGAUCCGCGCCGCAUUAGCUAGUUGGUAAGGUAAAGGCUUACCAAGGCAACGAUGCGUAGCCGACCUGAGAGGGUGAUCGGCCACACUGGAACUGAGACACGGUCCAGACUCCUACGGGAGGCAGCAGUAGGGAAUCUUCCGCAAUGGGCGAAAGCCUGACGGAGCAACGCCGCGUGAGUGAUGAAGGUCUUCGGAUCGUAAAACUCUGUUAUUAGGGAAGAACAAAUGUGUAAGUAACUAUGCACGUCUUGACGGUACCUAAACAGAAAGCCACGGCUAACUACGUG
This 497-nucleotide ribosomal RNA is filed under the name uncultured bacterium. RNAcentral's name for it is "partial 16S ribosomal RNA". It matches the Rfam family "Bacterial small subunit ribosomal RNA", at positions 28 to 507 of the family's 1533-position model. The record is from RNAcentral.